CGGGUGCGGUUGCGGUUGC
This 19-nucleotide non-coding RNA is filed under the name Arabidopsis thaliana (thale cress). The record is from RNAcentral. Lineage: Eukaryota; Viridiplantae; Streptophyta; Magnoliopsida; Brassicales; Brassicaceae.